UGAAAAGGCUGGUGAACGAGUAAUUUGAUAAGGAGAAGAAGGGAAAGCAUGUGUAGCCUGUAAUGGAGAUGAUGGAUUUGAAUGUAAAAUUUUAAAUCUAUUCGUUGUGGGAAUAAAGUUUUGUGCAUAAUCACUACGGGAUACUUUUUUCUUAAUGAGAGUGCCAAUUAAGUUUUCUUCUUAAAAAUUUGUAAGCUUAUUUCUUGCAAAAAUUCACGACUAAGAAAAUUGGGUAAAGAACUUGAAGUGCCUUCAAUAUAUUCAAUAUAAAAAUAAAAAUUCCUAAUAAAGCUUGCUAUCUUGCAAAAAUUGUUUUGAAAUGAAAUUUUUAACAUCUUUUUGUCAAACAUAUUUUGUAGCUGAGCAAUCAAUUCUUC
Molecule: unclassified non-coding RNA, 377 nt
Filed under: Hevea brasiliensis (rubber tree)
Lineage: Eukaryota; Viridiplantae; Streptophyta; Magnoliopsida; Malpighiales; Euphorbiaceae
Source: RNAcentral